RNAcentral lists this long non-coding RNA (454 nucleotides) under Bos taurus (domestic cattle). RNAcentral describes it as "long non-coding RNA NONBTAT018023". Lineage: Eukaryota; Metazoa; Chordata; Mammalia; Artiodactyla; Bovidae. The record is from RNAcentral.
GGGGUCAGAGACACAUAGCUGCUUGAUGCUCAAGUACAGGCUUCUCUGAAUUUUUUCGCGAGACACUGGGUUGAGUGUUUAGAGAGCAUGUCUGGCAAACUUUCCUGAACCCACCUCAAAGAUCAUCAGUCAUCUCUACUUGCUCUGCUCUGAGUCAGAGUAAAACAUUGAAAAUGUCUCUUUUCCCACAGAUCAUGGGGUACUUGUCCAGCUGGCCUCUCGAUCACCCUGGCCAGAGCCUCCCAGUCCUGCUAUGGGGUGGGUUCCCAGUCCUGUGUCUGUGUGUCCCAUCAGUUUUCAUGCAGAACCUGUCUCCAGAGAGGUGACAGCCACCCUGUCCCACCUCUGCAUCUGCCAUCAGAAGCCUGCACAAUGGCCUCAAACCAGCUCUUACUAUGUGCCCUCAGGUCUCUAGGCAAUAUUCUGUGUAACUGGCUUCUGAAAUAAUAAACAU